CCUACGGGAGGCAGCAGUGAGGAAUAUUGGUCAAUGGACGAGAGUCUGAACCAGCCAAGUAGCGUGAAGGAUGACUGCCCUAUGGGUUGUAAACUUCUUUUAUAAAGGAAUAAAACGAGGCACGUGUGCCUUUUUGCAUGUACUUUAUGAAUAAGGAUCGGCUAACUCCGUGCCAGCAGCCGCGGUAAUACGGAGGAUCCGAGCGUUAAACGGAUUUAUUGGGUUUAAAGGGAGCGUAGAUGGGUUGUUAAGUCAGUUGUGAAAGUUUGCGGCUCAACCGUAAAAUUGCAAUUGAUACUGGCAGUCGUGAGUACAGUUGAGGUAGGCGGAAUUCGUGGUGUAGCGGUGAAAUGCUUAGAUAUCACGAAGAACCCCGAUUGCGAAGGCAGCUUACUAAACUGUGACUGACAUUGAUGCUCGAAAGUGUGGGUAUCAAACAGGAUUAGAUACCCCAGUAGUC
Molecule: ribosomal RNA, 460 nt
Filed under: uncultured bacterium
Lineage: Bacteria
Description: partial 16S ribosomal RNA
Rfam family: Bacterial small subunit ribosomal RNA
Source: RNAcentral